GGCCAGACUCCUACGGGAGGCAGCAGUGGGGGAUAUUGCACAAUGGGGGGAACCCUGAUACAGCGACGCCGCGUGGGUGAAGAAGCGCCUCGGCGCGUAAAGCCCUGUCAGCAGGGAAGAAAAUGACGGUACCUGAAGAAGAAGCCCCGGCUAACUACGUGCCAGCAGCCGCGGUAAUACGUAGGGGGCAAGCGUUAUCCGGAUUUACUGGGUGUAAAGGGGGCGCAGACGGCGAUGCAAGCCAGGAGUGAAAGCCCGGGGCCCAACCCCGGGACUGCUCUUGGAACUGCGUGGCUGGAGUGCAGGAGGGGCAGGCGGAAUUCCUGGUGUAGCGGUGAAAUGCGUAGAUAUCAGGAGGAACACCGGUGGCGAAGGCGGCCUGCUGGACUGCAACUGACGUUGAGGCCCGAAAGCGUGGGGAGCAAACAGGAUUAGAUACCCGGGUAU
Molecule: ribosomal RNA, 447 nt
Filed under: uncultured bacterium
Lineage: Bacteria
Description: partial 16S ribosomal RNA
Rfam family: Bacterial small subunit ribosomal RNA
Source: RNAcentral